Molecule: ribosomal RNA, 581 nt
Filed under: Microbacterium foliorum
Lineage: Bacteria; Bacillati; Actinomycetota; Actinomycetes; Micrococcales; Microbacteriaceae
Description: bacterial SSU rRNA
Rfam family: Bacterial small subunit ribosomal RNA
Source: RNAcentral
GAGGGAUGACGGCCUUCGGGUUGUAAACCUCUUUUAGCAGGGAAGAAGCGAAAGUGACGGUACCUGCAGAAAAAGCGCCGGCUAACUACGUGCCAGCAGCCGCGGUAAUACGUAGGGCGCAAGCGUUAUCCGGAAUUAUUGGGCGUAAAGAGCUCGUAGGCGGUUUGUCGCGUCUGCUGUGAAAUCCCGAGGCUCAACCUCGGGCCUGCAGUGGGUACGGGCAGACUAGAGUGCGGUAGGGGAGAUUGGAAUUCCUGGUGUAGCGGUGGAAUGCGCAGAUAUCAGGAGGAACACCGAUGGCGAAGGCAGAUCUCUGGGCCGUAACUGACGCUGAGGAGCGAAAGGGUGGGGAGCAAACAGGCUUAGAUACCCUGGUAGUCCACCCCGUAAACGUUGGGAACUAGUUGUGGGGUCCAUUCCACGGAUUCCGUGACGCAGCUAACGCAUUAAGUUCCCCGCCUGGGGAGUACGGCCGCAAGGCUAAAACUCAAAGGAAUUGACGGGGACCCGCACAAGCGGCGGAGCAUGCGGAUUAAUUCGAUGCAACGCGAGACCUUACCACGCUUGACAUAUACGAGACG